GGGGAUGAUCGGUUUCGACAUCGCCUGAGAAGCUGCGAGAAGCGGGCCGAGGAUGCAGGGUUAUCUCGUUAACGAUCUCUGCGACCAAUAGGUGCCAAUGCUAAGCGCACCGACUUCGCUCUCGCCGCCUAAGGCGGAGUAGGAGUCCGUCAGUCCGGGUUCGUCCUCGCCCCGGAUCCUGGCGUCAUCAAGAGGACUCGCUGCUCACCUGAGUCUCAGGGGUGAGCGGGACUUGCACUGAGGCUGGGCUCGUCGACCUAGAUGCUCGUGGCAAAGGUCGGAGCCGAGCAGAACGCUUUCACGAGCUGCGCCCGGAGAAGGCGCAGGUCCUCAGCGAUGGACGGGGGUUCGAUUCCCCCCAUCUCCACCA
Molecule: transfer-messenger RNA, 370 nt
Filed under: Microbacteriaceae
Lineage: Bacteria; Bacillati; Actinomycetota; Actinomycetes; Micrococcales
Also listed under: 1 other name
Description: Pseudolysinimonas sp017308515 Standard tmRNA
Rfam family: transfer-messenger RNA
About the family: Bacterial tmRNA, also known as 10Sa RNA or SsrA, is named for its dual tRNA and mRNA-like properties. Its role is to liberate the mRNA from a stalled ribosome. To accomplish this part of the tmRNA is used as a reading frame that ends in a translation stop signal.
Source: RNAcentral